RNAcentral lists this ribosomal RNA (2921 nucleotides) under Lactiplantibacillus plantarum. RNAcentral's name for it is "23S ribosomal RNA". It matches the Rfam family "Bacterial large subunit ribosomal RNA". Lineage: Bacteria; Bacillati; Bacillota; Bacilli; Lactobacillales; Lactobacillaceae. The record is from RNAcentral.
GGUUAAGUUAACAAGGGCGCAUGGUGAAUGCCUUGGCACUAGGAGCCGAUGAAGGACGGGACUAACACCGAUAUGCUUCGGGGAGCUGUACGUAAGCUAUGAUCCGGAGAUUUCCGAAUGGGGCAACCCAGCAGUUUUAAUCAACUGUUACCACUAGAUGAAUUCAUAGUCUAGUUGGAGGUAAACGCUGUGAACUGAAACAUCUCAUUAGCAGCAGGAAUAUAAAGAAAUUUCGAUUCCCUAAGUAGCGGCGAGCGAACGGGGAACAGCCCAAACCAAAGUGUUUGCACUUUGGGGUUGUAGGACUGAACAUUUGAGUUACCAAAGAACUUGAUAGUCGAAGGAUUUGGGAAAAUCCGCCAUAGAUGGUGAUAGCCCAGUAGAUUAAAUCAAAUUCUCUCAGUUCAGGAUCCUGAGUACGGCGGAACACGUGAAAUUCCGUCGGAAUCCGGGAGGACCAUCUCCCAAGGCUAAAUACUACCUAGUGACCGAUAGUGAACCAGUACCGUGAGGGAAAGGUGAAAAGCACCCCGGGAGGGGAGUGAAAUAGUUCCUGAAACCAUGUGCCUACAAUAAGUCAGAGCGCGUUAAUGCGUGAUGGCGUGCCUUUUGUAGAAUGAACCGGCGAGUUAUGAUCCCGUGCAAGGUUAAGACUAAAAAGUCGGAGCCGUAGCGAAAGCGAGUCUGAAAUGGGCGUUUUGAGUACGAGGUUAUAGACCCGAAACCAGGUGACCUAUCCAUGUCCAGGUUGAAGGUGCGGUAAAACGCACUGGAGGACCGAACCCGUGUAAGUUGAAAAUUGCUGGGAUGAGGUGUGGAUAGCGGUGAAAUUCCAAACGAACUUGGAGAUAGCUGGUUCUCUCCGAAAUAGCUUUAGGGCUAGCCUCGGAAUUAGGAUCAUGGAGGUAGAGCACUAUUUGGACUAGGGGCCCGUCUUGGGUUACUGAAUUCAGAUAAACUCCGAAUGCCAUUGAUUCAUAUCCGGGAGUCAGACGAUGAGUGAUAAGAUCCACCGUCGAAAGGGGAACAGCCCAGACCAUCAGUUAAGGUCCCUAAAUGUAUGCUAAGUGGAAAAGGAUGUGGAGUUGCAUAGACAACUAGGAUGUUGGCUCAGAAGCAGCCACCAUUUAAAGAGUGCGUAAUAGCUCACUAGUCGAGUGAUCCUGCGCCGAAAAUGUACCGGGGCUAAGCAUACUACCGAAACCAUGGAUGCGACCAUUAGGUCGCGUGAUAGGAGAGCGUUCUAAGGGCGGUGAAGCAAGAUCGUGAGGACUUGUGGAGCGCUUAGAAGUGAGAAUGCCGGUAUGAGUAGCGAAAGAUAGGUGAGAAUCCUAUCCACCGAAUGACUAAGGUUUCCUGGGGAAGGCUCGUCCUCCCAGGGUUAGUCGGGACCUAAGUCGAGGCCGAGAGGCGUAGACGAUGGAUAACAGGUUGAGAUUCCUGUACUAGUUAAGUGCGUUUGAGCAAUGGAGGGACGCAGGAGGCUAAGAUGUGCAUUCUGUUGGAUUAGAAUGUCCAAGCAGUAAGUCUUGUGAAGAGUCAAAUGCUUUUCACUUUAAGGACAAGCUGUGAUGGGGAGCGAAAUUUAGUAGCGAAGCGUCUGAUGUCACACUGCCGAGAAAAGCUUCUAGUGAGUACUUAACUACCCGUACCGCAAACCGACACAGGUAGUCGAGGAGAGAAUCCUAAGGUGAGCGAGUGAACUCUCGUUAAGGAACUCGGCAAAAUGACCCCGUAACUUCGGGAGAAGGGGUGCUGAUCGCAAGAUCAGCCGCAGUGAAUAGGCCCAGGCGACUGUUUAUCAAAAACACAGGUCUCUGCAAAAUCGUAAGAUGACGUAUAGGGGCUGACGCCUGCCCGGUGCUGGAAGGUUAAAAGGAUGGGUUAGCUUCGGCGAAGCUCAGAAUUGAAGCCCCAGUAAACGGCGGCCGUAACUAUAACGGUCCUAAGGUAGCGAAAUUCCUUGUCGGGUAAGUUCCGACCCGCACGAAAGGCGUAACGAUCUGGGCACUGUCUCAACGAGAGACUCGGUGAAAUUAUAUUGUCCGUGAAGAUGCGGACUACCCGCGACAGGACGGAAAGACCCCAUGGAGCUUUACUGUAGCUUGAUAUUGAGUGUUUGUACAGCUUGUACAGGAUAGGUAGGAGCCAUAGAAACCGGAACGCUAGUUUCGGUGGAGGCGUUGGUGGGAUACUACCCUCGCUGUAUGACCACUCUAACCCGCACCACUAAUCGUGGUGGGAGACAGUGUCAGGUGGGCAGUUUGACUGGGGCGGUCGCCUCCUAAAAAGUAACGGAGGCGCCCAAAGGUUCCCUCAGAAUGGUUGGAAAUCAUUCGCAGAGUGUAAAGGCACAAGGGAGCUUGACUGCGAGACAGACAGGUCGAGCAGGGACGAAAGUCGGGCUUAGUGAUCCGGUGGUACCGUAUGGAAGGGCCAUCGCUCAACGGAUAAAAGCUACCCUGGGGAUAACAGGCUUAUCUCCCCCAAGAGUCCACAUCGACGGGGAGGUUUGGCACCUCGAUGUCGGCUCAUCGCAUCCUGGGGCUGUAGUCGGUCCCAAGGGUUGGGCUGUUCGCCCAUUAAAGCGGUACGCGAGCUGGGUUCAGAACGUCGUGAGACAGUUCGGUCCCUAUCCGUCGCGGGCGUAGGAAAUUUGAGAGGACCUGUCCUUAGUACGAGAGGACCGGGAUGGACAUACCUCUGGUGUACCAGUUGUGCCGCCAGGCGCAUCGCUGGGUAGCUACGUAUGGAUGUGAUAAACGCUGAAAGCAUCUAAGUGUGAAACACACCUCGAGAUGAGAUUUCCCAUUCCUUUAUGGAAGUAAGACCCCUGAAAGAUGAUCAGGUAGAUAGGUUAGAAGUGGCAGUGCGGUGACGCAUGAAGCGGACUAAUACUAAUCGGUCGAGGACUUAACCAA